RNAcentral lists this ribosomal RNA (873 nucleotides) under Schistocerca lineata (birdwing grasshopper). RNAcentral's name for it is "partial 16S ribosomal RNA". The stretch from base 356 to 519 matches the Rfam family "Archaeal large subunit ribosomal RNA", at positions 1886 to 2093 of the family's 2987-position model. The record is from RNAcentral. Lineage: Eukaryota; Metazoa; Arthropoda; Insecta; Orthoptera; Acrididae.
UUAUUUAUUUUAUUAUAUUUAUUUUUUGUUUAUUUAAUUAUUUAAUAAAAAUAAUUUUAUUGAAUUUUGUCUUAGUAUAUUUUGUAGAAUUGAUUUUUUAAAUUAUAGUUUAUUGGUAAUGUAAUUGUUUUAUGAGAUAUUAUUUUAAAUUUUUAAAAGUAUAUUUUAUUUAUUGUACCUUUUGUAUCAGGGUUUAUCAAAAUUUUAGUAUUUAAUUUACUUGUCUCGAUUUGGGUUGAUUUAUAAAUAAUUUAUAGUUAAUGUAUCAUAAUUAUUAUUAAAUUAUUUAUGGAAAUGAAAUGUUAAUCGUUUCCCAAGAUAUCUAGUUUCUUAAGAAAAANNNNNNNNNAAAAWUGAUUUCCGCCUGUUUAUCAAAAACAKGUCCUCUUGAAAAUACUUUGAGGUCUGGCCUGCUCACUGAGCGGAUUUUUAAAGAGCCGCGGUAUUUUGACCGUGCAAAGGUAGCAUAAUCAUUAGUCUCUUAAUUAGUGGCUGGAAUGAAUGGCUUGACGAGAAAUCAACUGUCUCUUAAUAAAUUUUUGAAUUUAACUUUUGAGUCAAAAGGCUUAAAUUUUUCUUUAGGACGAGAAGACCCUAUAGAGCUUAACAUUUUACUUUUAUAUAGUUUUUUGUUUGUCUUUCUAUAUUUAAUGAUGAUGUUUUGUUGGGGUGACAUGAAGAAUAAAUAAACUCUUCAUUAUUAUAUCAUUUAUUUAUGUUUGUUGUUUUGAUCCAUAAUUUAUGAUCAUAAGAUUAAGUUACCUUAGGGAUAACAGCGUAAUUGUUUUUGAGAGCUCAUAUCGACAAAGCAGAUUGCGACCUCGAUGUGGGAUUAAGAAAAAUUUUGGGUGCAGUAGCCCAGUAAUUAGGUCU